UACAGAGGGGGCAAGCGUUGUUCGGAAUUACUGGGCGUAAAGGGCGCGUAGGCGGCCUGUUAAGUCGAACGUGAAAUCCCCGGGCUCAACCCGGGAACUGCGUCCGAUACUGGCAGGCUUGAAUUCGGGAGAGGGAUGCGGAAUUCCAGGUGUAGCGGUGAAAUGCGUAGAUAUCGAGAGGAACACCAGUGGCGAAGGCGAGUCUCUGGACGACACCUGACACUGAGGCACGAAAGCUAGGGGAGCAAACAGG
This 253-nucleotide ribosomal RNA is filed under the name uncultured bacterium. RNAcentral's name for it is "partial 16S ribosomal RNA". It matches the Rfam family "Bacterial small subunit ribosomal RNA", at positions 524 to 776 of the family's 1533-position model. The record is from RNAcentral.